This 348-nucleotide unclassified non-coding RNA is filed under the name soil metagenome. Its description in RNAcentral is "partial contains 5.8S ribosomal RNA, internal transcribed spacer 2, and large subunit ribosomal RNA". The stretch from base 1 to 120 matches the Rfam family "5.8S ribosomal RNA", at positions 35 to 154 of the family's 154-position model. The record is from RNAcentral.
GAUGAAGAACGUAGCGAAAUGCGAUAAGUAAUGUGAAUUGCAGAAUUCAGUGAAUCAUCGAAUCUUUGAACGCACAUUGCGCCCGCCAGUAUUCUGGCGGGCAUGCCUGUCUGAGCGUCAUUUCAACCCUCAUGCCCCUAGGGCGUGGUGUUGGGGAUCGGCCAAAGCCCGCGAGGGACGGCCGGCCCCUAAAUCUAGUGGCGGACCCGUCGUGGCCUCCUCUGCGAAGUAGUGAUAUUCCGCAUCGGAGAGCGAUGAGCCCCUGCGGUUAAACCCCCAACUUUCCAAGGUUGACCUCAGAUCAGGUAGGAAUACCCGCUGAACUUAAGCAUAUCAAUAAGCGGAGGA